ACAUGAAAUAAUUCCAAUUUUAAUGAUAGUAGUGAUUAUUUGUUUUGCCAUUAUUGAGUUUCAUCACAUAAUUCCUCAACCAUAUUAUACUACUACUUCUUCUAAUUAUUAUAUUGCAUCUGAAUUAGAAAAGUGUAUUGAUCGAUGCCGAAAAAAUUUUCCAGAACACACCAUAACUCUGACGUUUUGCAUUACUAGAUGUUAUGAUCAUUAUGGAGUAAAUUAGUAUUGGUAAGUGCCAAUAAUAUAUUUUAAAUAUUUUUUAGUUUAUACUAUUACAUAUGAAUAUUUAGGUUUAAUUAUUCUGUCAAUUUUUAUCGUUUUAUUGAAUUUUUAAUUAAAUUUUUAUAUAUUUUUUAAAAUUUUUAUAUCAUAUCAAAUUUUAUAAUUAAAUCUCUAUUGUAACAAAAAUAUUUUAAAUUAAUGGAAUAUAUGAGAAUCCUGCGAUAUGCAUAGAUGAAGAACAUUUUAAGAAGUGAUUCACAUGCUUAAUUUUAAUUGUUUUAAUGCUUUUUCAAUUUAAUAAUCUUACUUUUUUUUUAUCUUGUCCUGUACUUUAGUUAUAUUUGAGUUUCAACAACUUAAU
This 586-nucleotide long non-coding RNA is filed under the name Arachis ipaensis. RNAcentral describes it as "long non-coding RNA (AIPA_LNC000256)". The record is from RNAcentral. Lineage: Eukaryota; Viridiplantae; Streptophyta; Magnoliopsida; Fabales; Fabaceae.